GAAAUGCGAUAAGUAAUGUGAAUUGCAGAAUUCAGUGAAUCAUCGAAUCUUUGAACGCACAUUGCGCCCGCCAGUAUUCUGGCGGGCAUGCCUGUUCGAGCGUCAGUACAACCCUCAGGCCCCCGGGCCUGGCGUUGGGGAUCGGCGGAAGCCCCCUGCGGGCACAACGCCGUCCCCCAAAUACAGUGGCGGUCCCGCCGCAGCUUCCAUUGCGUAGUAGCUAACACCUCGCAACUGGAGAGCGGCGCGGCCACGCCGUAAAACACCCAACUUCUGAAUGUUGACCUCGAAUCAGGUAGGAAUACCCGCUGAACUUAAGC
RNAcentral lists this unclassified non-coding RNA (320 nucleotides) under plant metagenome. RNAcentral describes it as "partial contains 5.8S ribosomal RNA, internal transcribed spacer 2, and large subunit ribosomal RNA". The stretch from base 1 to 105 matches the Rfam family "5.8S ribosomal RNA", at positions 50 to 154 of the family's 154-position model. The record is from RNAcentral.